Long non-coding RNA from Vicia villosa (hairy vetch), 3345 nucleotides. RefSeq lists it as uncharacterized. The transcript has 4 exons. The record is from RefSeq and is a predicted model, not a curated record. NCBI's taxonomy places the organism in Eukaryota, Viridiplantae, Streptophyta, Magnoliopsida, Fabales, Fabaceae.
GUGGAAACUGAAGGAGCUUUACAAGAGAAACAAAGUAGACAAAAAGCCAAAAGUUAGAUAUAUCUGUUUCUAAACUAAAGGCUCGGUUUUGUUUUAGUAAAGCAAGUCAAGUGAUGAAGGUAUGAACAAUCUUUGGGGGGAGAAGAGGCAAGAGAAGGGAGAUGAUGACACCAUAAAGCUCAGCUCAAAGAAGGACAUUCAUGGACCGAUCACGGAAGAAGGGAUGAGAUUUCAACUUCCUACCAUGUUCUGUUCCGGAAUCAAGGGAGCUUCAAAGAUCAUGUAACAGAGUUACAAAAAUAUUGAAAAAUCAUUAUUAACUUAUGAUGGGUGGGCGUGGCAUUAGGGGAUGCAAGACUUUUGCUUCAAGAAAUAUUGUUAUCCACGAAUAUUGUAAUGACGCCAGUAAGUGGAGUAGGUUGAGGUCUUUCAAAGAAAUUGAUCAAGUACUGAGAAAUGAUAAAGCAAGUGAUUCCACUCAAGCUUUGGUUCUAAAUCUAUCUGAAGCCCGUUUGAAGCAAGUUGUAACCCUGAAAUUUUUGCAAAGAUGUGCAAUCUUGUUGAAUGGAGGGAAUACCCUACCGAGUCAAGAACUCAAGAGGAUGUUCAUGUUACGAUAACCUUCUUAAAAAAAGAUGUUUGGCACGUGUAGCUCAAAAAUUUGUCCAAGAAUUCAACCAAACAACUGUCUGUCUCAGUGCGGGAUCAACCUUUCCAACAUGAACAAUCAUUACGUGACAACUUUGGUUGUGGCUGCACAAUAACUCAGGUCAACUUCAGUUUAUCAGGGGAUGCUUUUGUGGGGACUAAUUUGGAGUGGAAAGGAAUGGCUUUGUAUUUGGUUAAGAUUUAUUCUUCUUGUCAUUUACUUUAUAAAAGAAAGCUUUGGAAAGAUUUGAAAGCUUGUGGGGACUAAUCUAUAUUUAAGUGGUUAAAUGCGGGAGACUCUAAUUCAAAGUUUUUUCAGGCAACCAUGAAGAAGAGAUAUAGAAGAAAUAGUAUUUUAGCUCUUAAGUCAGAGAGGGGUUUGCUUGAGCAGGUUGAAGUUCUGAGUCAUUUCGAAAGUAGAUUCUAAGAACCCAAGGCUCUCGGACCAAAUUUGGAGGGGGUAGACUUUAAGCACCUUUCAGUUGUUGAUUGCCUUAGUCUAAAGGAACCAUUAUCUUAAGAAGAAAUUAAGGAGGCAGUAUGGUUGUGCGAUGGCAGGAAGAGUCCAGGACCGGGCGGCUUUAACUUGGGCUUCUUUAAAAGGUGUUGGGACAUUAUCAAAAGUGAUCUCUUUGCUUGUGUUAAAGAAUUCUAUGUGUGUGCUUCGUUGCCCAAGGCCUACACUGAAGCUUUUGUGGCUUUAAUUCCCAAAGUUCAGAAUCCUCAACAUAUAAGUGAAUUUAGGCCCCUAUGCCUUGUGGGGAAGUUUGUACAAAAUUCUUGCUUAAGCUAUUGGCAAGGCGCUUGAAAAAAGUGAUUGGUAUCUUGGUUCUCAUUGAAUUGGUUGAUUAUGCGAGAAGCCGAGAAGGAAUUAGAAAGAGUGUUUUCUCUUCAAGGUUGACUUCGAAAAAGCGUAUGAUUCGGUCUUUUGGGGUUAUCUGCGUUAUAUCAUGGGAAGAAUGGGUUUGGGGUGUAGGUGGAUGAAUUGGAUCAAUGCCUGGAUUUUUUCAAGUUCUUUAUCAGUUCUAGUGAACGGCAGUCCUACUAAGGAUUUUCUAGCUCAAAGGGUUCUUCGCCAAGUGGAUCCUGUCUCCUUUAUUGUUUAUCAUUGCUGCUGAAGGCCUUGCUGGGUUGAUGUGUAACGCUGUCUGGUUAGGUAAGUUUCUUCCAUUCAUAGUUUCAGAUCAGGUUUCUUUUGACAUCCUUCAAUUCACAGACGAUAAGGUUUUGUUAGAGGAAGGUUCGGUGCACAACUUGUGGAGCAUUAAAGCGAUAUUAUGUGGUUUUAAGUUGCCAUCGGGUUUAUGUGUUAACUUAUGUAAAAUCGAAGUUAUUGGAAUUAAUUUGAAUGAUAGUUUCUUGUUUGCUGCUUCAUCUUUUCUCUCUUGCAGGUUGAGCUUUAUUCCGUUUUUAUUCCUUGGUAUCCUAAUCGGCGCUAGUACGCGCAGGAAGGAAAUAUGGUCUCCUCUGUUGUCUAAGCUUGCUCUCGUUUGUCUGGUUGGAAGGGAAAAUUUCUGUAUAUAGGGGCUCGCGUAGUGCUCCUGGGCGCGGUCCUAAAUGCAAUUCCGGUCUUUCUCUUUUCUUUUUAUAAUGCUCCGAGGAUUUUUAUCCGGGAGAUUGUCAAGAACUAGCGUGUUCAAAUUCUGCUACAUCAUAUUCCCAUAGCUUACUAUAGUUGCUAUUUAACAACGUUGAUAGAACUUAGAAGCACUGAAAAGGUGAGUUUCAAGGUUUUCUGAAUGAAGUUCCAAACAUGGUUCAGCUUUUCCAGAGUAUUGUUAUGAAUCUAUUUAUGGCUUUUAUAUAUUGAAAAUGGAUUGAUAACUAUUGGAACUAUUUGCUAUUGUGACUCAAGCUACUACACUUUACGAGCUUGAAAAAUCUAUGCAAAAUAAAGGAGAAUGAUUUUCUAAUAAUUGAAAUUAUUUUUAUUGAUUGAUUUAGGUAAUCUACAAUAUAAGAAAAUAAGAUGGUCUGGAAAGUUCCAAAUUGUCCCUGCUGAUUUUUUGUGCUGCCACGUGGGAUGUUUUAUUGCCACCUUCAGCUCUACCAUUCCAAUUUGAAGCGUGAUUUGCAGGUUAAUGCAAGGACAAACAAUGGAGAAGAAGAACAAUUUUUUUGGAUCCAUUACAACCUUCUUGACCUUUUAAUGGAGGUAAUAUUUUUUUCAGAUAUGUUUUUACCCACAACCUCCCUGCUUCUACUCAUUCAUCUUCAUCAACAUUUUAUUCAUCUUUUUCAUAGUUAAUAUGUGAUGCUUUUGAGUUUUAUAUUAUGGUUUGAUGAGGUUAACAGAAAAAGUUAUCAUUUUUAUGGUUAUUGUUUCAUAAAAAGUUAUCAUUUUUAUAGUUAUUGUUUUGAAAAAAAUUAACAUUUUUAUCAUCGUUAGUCUUUAUGUUGAUUUUUCUGUUUCGUCUUUAUGUUAUUAUUUGUUGUUUUUUUUACAGUGAUGUAUAGUUUUGCAGUGUGAAUCUGUGGUGGCAGCAGAACGUUUCCGGCGCCAAGUGUGGUUGUGGUCGGAUUUGAAAUGGUUGUUAUAUUUUAUUGACUGAAAUGUGUAUCAUCUACACUUUUAUGAUUUCUUUUUAAUUUUUUUUAACUUGCAGAUCUAUUAACUUCUUCAUUAGAUUUCAUUUUUCAUUCUUCAUCCACCAAAAAAUCUGCUUCUCCAAAUACUUAAAAAAAAAGUUAGCUUGA